This 73-nucleotide transfer RNA is filed under the name Marmota monax (woodchuck). It matches the Rfam family "tRNA". From Rfam's summary of the family: Transfer RNA (tRNA) molecules are approximately 80 nucleotides in length. Their secondary structure includes four short double-helical elements and three loops (D, anti-codon, and T loops). Lineage: Eukaryota; Metazoa; Chordata; Mammalia; Rodentia; Sciuridae. The record is from Rfam by way of RNAcentral.
UGGGAUAUAGCUUAGUAGGUAGAGUGUUUGCUUAGCAUGCACAAGGCCCUGGGUUCAGCCCCCAGUACCCCCC